CUCCAGUUCUUGGUAAACCAGCUUUGGCAGGGGCUCUUUAAAUGCUUAGGAGAGCCCCUGCCAAAGCUGGUUUACCAAUUAUUACU
Molecule: non-coding RNA, 86 nt
Organism: Pelobates cultripes (western spadefoot toad)
Lineage: Eukaryota; Metazoa; Chordata; Amphibia; Anura; Pelobatidae
Source: the annotation of a GenBank genome assembly